UACGUAGGGGGCAAGCGUUAUCCGGAUUCACUGGGUUUAAAGGGUGCGUAGGCGGGCAGGUAAGUCCGUGGUGAAAUCUCUGAGCUUAACUCAGAAACUGCCAUGGAUACUAUUUGUCUUGAAUGUUGUGGAGGUAAGCGGAAUAUGUCAUGUAGCGGUGAAAUGCUUAGAUAUGACAUAGAACACCAAUUGCGAAGGCAGCUUACUACACAAAUAUUGACGCUGAGGCACGAAAGCGUGGGGAUCAAACAGG
Molecule: ribosomal RNA, 253 nt
Filed under: uncultured bacterium
Lineage: Bacteria
Description: partial 16S ribosomal RNA
Rfam family: Bacterial small subunit ribosomal RNA
Source: RNAcentral